AGACAAGGCCAUGCCACCCUGAAUGCACCUGAUCCCGGAAGCUAAGCAAGAUCGGUCCUGGUUAGUACUUGGAUGGGAGGCCGGUUUGGAUGGGAGACCGUUUUUUUUU
Ribosomal RNA from Cricetulus griseus (Chinese hamster), 109 nucleotides. Lineage: Eukaryota; Metazoa; Chordata; Mammalia; Rodentia; Cricetidae. The record is from Ensembl.